This 253-nucleotide ribosomal RNA is filed under the name uncultured bacterium. Its description in RNAcentral is "partial 16S ribosomal RNA". It matches the Rfam family "Bacterial small subunit ribosomal RNA", at positions 524 to 776 of the family's 1533-position model. RNAcentral also lists the same sequence under 1 other name. The record is from RNAcentral.
UACGGAGGGUGCAAGCGUUAUCCGGAUUUAUUGGGUUUAAAGGGUCCGUAGGCGGGCUCAUAAGUCAGUGGUGAAAUCCUGCAGCUCAACUGUAGAACUGCCAUUGAUACUGUGAGCCUUGAAUUUGGUUGAAGUGGGCGGAAUAUGACAUGUAGCGGUGAAAUGCUUAGAUAUGUCAUAGAACACCGAUUGCGAAGGCAGCUCACUAAGCCUGGAUUGACGCUGAUGGACGAAAGCGUGGGUAGCGAACAGG